This is a long non-coding RNA of Oncorhynchus tshawytscha (Chinook salmon), 270 nucleotides long. RefSeq lists it as uncharacterized. The transcript is spliced from 3 exons. The record is from RefSeq and is a predicted model, not a curated record. Lineage: Eukaryota; Metazoa; Chordata; Actinopteri; Salmoniformes; Salmonidae.
UCAUAGCUUGAGACACUGCAAGUAUCAUUGGUUAAGGAGAGUUUCAUACUUUACCAACAAAAUGACUUUCAGAGCAGCAAUAUACAGAUACAGAUAUGGAAUAUCAGAUAGAGGUCAAACAAUAACACAUACAGACAUGGAAUAUCAGAUAGAGGUCAAACAAUAACACAUACAGACAUGGAAUAUCAGAUAGAGGUCAAAUGUCCAAAUAGCUGUACCCUAUAAGUCAGUGUACCCUACAGGUCAGUGUACCCUAUAGGUCAGUGUACC